AUGGUCAGCGACGGCUACACCCAGCGCAUGGUCAGUGCAUUCGAAUACGGCGGUUGCUCGGACCGUACGCUGGAGGCUUGGUUCUUCGAGCUCGACGUGGACUGGGUUCUCCAAAUCCCCGAGGGCGAUGGCUCAUGGCGGCAGCUCCAGCUUCAAGACUUGGUCAAGAAGUGGAUUCGAGCAUUCAUCACAACCGUCGCCAGUAUCAAAGAGGUGGCCAUCAACGUCCACGAGGCGAUGGCGGUCGCACAGUUUGGCAAGGCAAGCAUCGCCAAGAUGCUCGAGCUCGUCUUCAUCGACACCAUCACCCCUGCAAGUAAGGAGGAGAAGCUACGGGCUGCGCUAGACAUGUAUAUAUGCGUCUCGAGUGCAGAACAAAUGUUUUCGCCGGAAGUCCAACUCAAAUUCAAGGGCUUGAGCAAGAAAAUAUUCAUGGACAUAGGCGGCUCGUUGCCCAGAGAAGUGAAGAGGUUGAGCAAGGCCAUAUACAGCACGGUAAUGGAGGUGAGGGCAUUCGUGGAGGAGGACGACUCGUGGGCCAUCGAGAUACCAAGAGGAAGAGGCGACAUCCACAGGAACACUUGGUUGAUGGUGAAUUGCAUCAAGUCCAUGCAAGAUAAAGCACGGCACCACGAAACCGAAUACCUCCGUGGCCUAAUAGAUGAUUCCGUCCGUUAUCUCAAGGAUCUGCUCUCGAGGAAGUCGGAGCUAUGCGCGGACCAAAGCCUGAGGUACCUGUUCCUGCUCAAUAAUUCCUACUUGGUGGCAAUGAUGGUUGAGCCAUGGUCGCUCAUGGUUGAGUCAUGGUCUAGACACGAGUGGAGACCUGCCCCCGAAUGCCUAAAGUACAUGAAUGAAUAUCUCGAUGUUUCUUGGAGGCAUGUGCAGUCCCACAUGCCGAAAACGGUCUUCAUAGAUGGCUAUCUUGAUGGUUCUCGACGUCGGCUACAUAUGUUGUUCGGCAUGCUUGCACCGCUCCAGCAUCGGAAGAACGCCGCUUCACUGGCAAAAUUCGAGUCCGCGUUUCAGAAAACUUACGCGGCCCAGAAGUUCUGGAAGGUACCGAAUCCUCAGCUCAGAGAUGAGCUGCGGAGAACAAUCAUAGAGAGAGUCGUCUCAGGUUACCGCUGCUACCUGGAGAAGCAUCCGAAGCUUGAGAAACAGGUUAGGGGCGGAAGCAGCAGCCCCGACGUGUUAGAGGAGAUGCUGGGAGAGCUAUUUGAAGGAUAA
Molecule: ribosomal RNA, 1230 nt
Filed under: Triticum aestivum (bread wheat)
Lineage: Eukaryota; Viridiplantae; Streptophyta; Magnoliopsida; Poales; Poaceae
Description: partial small subunit ribosomal RNA
Source: RNAcentral